Molecule: transfer RNA, 74 nt
Filed under: archaeon
Lineage: Archaea
Description: tRNA-Phe
Rfam family: tRNA
About the family: Transfer RNA (tRNA) molecules are approximately 80 nucleotides in length.
Source: RNAcentral
GGGGCAGUAGCUCAGCCUGGUAGAGCAAACGGCUGAAGACCGUUGUGUCGCGAGUUCAAAUCUCGCCUGCCCCA